RNAcentral lists this ribosomal RNA (332 nucleotides) under uncultured eukaryote. RNAcentral's name for it is "partial 18S ribosomal RNA". It matches the Rfam family "Eukaryotic small subunit ribosomal RNA", at positions 1470 to 1796 of the family's 1831-position model. The record is from RNAcentral.
CCCUUAGAUGUCCUGGGCUGCACGCGCGCUACACUGGAAGUUACGGAUUGAGAUACUACCUUGUCCGAAAUGGUCCGGGUAAUCACCUAAAAGCUUGUCAUAAUUGGAAUGGAUUAUUGUAACUAGUAAUCCUGAACGAGGAAUUCCUAGUAAGUCCCAGUCAACAGCUGGUACUGAUUACGUCCCUGCCCUUUGUACACACCGCCCGUCGCUACUACUGAUUGGACGUUUAAGCAAGAUUUUUAAACACUGACAGUGUGUAGUUCACGCUAUACUACAGUGAGGAGAAGAAGAUCGAGCUUACUUGUCUAGAGGAAGUAAAAGUCGUAACA